UGUAAAUGUGCUGUGUCUCAGUUGUAACCUGCUGAAAAUACCCUCCCUCUCCUUAAAUCAUAAUUGUUACAUUUUCAGUUUGAAGAUUGAGCAAAAAUGUACCCGUGGUUUUCAGACAAGCCAAAUUUGGCAGGAUAACCGCGAACCCUGCAACUCUGGGGAAAAGCGUUCUGUGAUUGGACUGCAAGAGCAGAAGAUUUAGACAAACAAGUAUCAGCAGUUACAGCGCGAUAGGGCGGGACUAAGCUUUGGAUGAUGUUCGGAGAAAAGACGCUAAAAUUGGCUCUAAGAUUGAAUGAACUGAAUUAAUAUACAGGUUAUGGUUUGUGCUCGUUUCUUGGACGGAGGGACCAAUGCAGUGAGCACUGUGUCAACCAGCUGGAUAACUGACUCUGACCCAACAGAAACCUCCCCGCAGUCCUUCUAAAGUUAUCUGGCAAGGUGAAACUGGGGAAGGAAGGCACCAUCACUGUCUCAGCCCGUUGUUGGAAGACUGCAAAAGCACAAGCUACAGCCAGUGGGACGGCACGAGUGCUACUGAUGGAACUCUUUAAUGUUGAUGUUUUUCUGAACUUUAAGCAUACCUUUAUCUGUUUUUGUAUUAUACAUAUAGUAGUAUAUGGUAGUAUAUAUUCUUGAAUUUAUAGUGAAGUGUAUUGUUAAAUAUAUAAUACAAUAAAUUGUGAUGUGUGGUAAUAGAUGGUAUGUGUAUUAUUGAUAGUAAUAUAUUAAAAUAUAUUCUUGAA
Astyanax mexicanus (Mexican tetra) is the source of this 746-nucleotide long non-coding RNA. RefSeq lists it as uncharacterized. The transcript is spliced from 2 exons. NCBI's taxonomy places the organism in Eukaryota, Metazoa, Chordata, Actinopteri, Characiformes, Acestrorhamphidae. The record is from RefSeq and is a predicted model, not a curated record.